RNAcentral lists this ribosomal RNA (535 nucleotides) under uncultured bacterium. RNAcentral's name for it is "bacterial SSU rRNA". It matches the Rfam family "Bacterial small subunit ribosomal RNA", at positions 356 to 881 of the family's 1533-position model. The record is from RNAcentral.
GAGGAAUUUUGCGCAAUGGGGGCAACCCUGACGCAGCAACGCCGCGUGAGUGAUGAAGGCCUUUUGGUUGUAAAGCUCUGUCGCCUGGAAAAGAAUGGCCAUAUCAGGAAAUGGGUGUGGUUUGACGGUACCAGGAAAGGAAGGACCGGCUAACUCCGUGCCAGCAGCCGCGGUAAUACGGGGGGUCCAAGCGUUAUUCGGAAUCAUUGGGCGUAAAGCGCAUGUAGGCGGCUGGGUGUGUCAGAUGUGAAAGCCCGGGGCUUAACCCCGGAAGUGCAUUUGAAACUGCCUGGCUUGAGUCUCGGAGAGGAAAGUGGAAUUCCCAGUGUAGAGGUGGAAUUCGUAGAUAUUGGGAGGAACACCGGUGGCGAAAGCGACUUUCUGGACGAUGACUGACGCUCAGAUGCGAAAGCGUGGGUAGCAAACAGGAUUAGAGACCCUGGUAGUCCACGCCGUAAACGAUGGGUACUAGGUGUCGGGGGUAUUGACCCCCUCGGUGCCGAAGGAAACGCAUUAAGUACUCCGCCUGGGGACU